GAGAGACUGACUCCAUAGCCCAGCGGAUAAGAUACUUCCCUGGGAUGUCAGGCAGAGCAGCAAAGUAAACUGGGGUCUCCCACUCCCAGGUUUGUUUUCCAUUCUGAUCCAUGCCCGCAGUGCACAGCUGACUCUGGCAUGAAAAAUUCACCGCCAAUUACAGCUAUCCGGAGAUCUGGUGAUGGUCAGAUGAUUUGGACAUGUGGGUCCUGCUGCGCUGCCUUUCCCUUUUUAGGACAACCUACUGCUCUGUGCUGUACCUGGUGGAGCAGCAAUUGGGCCAUUUUCUCACCAAAUAUAAACUGGAUUCAAUGGAACUAUGCCAGUUUACAGCAGCUGAAGAUCCAUCCCACUGCAUUAAUACAAAACUUUGCUGGGCAGUUUGAGCAAAAUUUGGAGUCCCGUGGAUUUUAUAGGAUUAUAAAUGAUCCCACUCAUCUUUCAUAUGUAUUAUGUGCAAUUGAUGAUGUUCUACAAAAAAUACUCUGCUUUUCUUAGAACAUUUUAAUACAGAAAUAUUUGUAAAUACAUUAUUUAUAGGUAAUAAAAAUAACAUUUUAAAAUCUCCAUACACCAUGUUUAAACUUGCUUAUAUUAAAUACAGCUUUGAAUACAAAUAGAGAAGAAGUGAUUCCAAAGUGGGGGAGACAAAUGUUCUCCCAAUGAAGUUGAAUCUAAAAAAAAUGUACACCCAAAACUGACAGCUUACAAGGCAAGUAACAGAAUAUUAUCAUUUCAUAGCAUGGUUCUUUCUGUUACAGUGCUUGAUUGACAGCCCAAAGGAAAUCACAGCAUAAGAGAAGGAAUGGAUAUUUUUCACAUUCUUGUUUUUGUUUCAGAGAGACAACAGUGGGCAGGUCAAUACUUCUAUCUACCUUUUUUUUUUUUUUUUUAAACUUAGCUGUUGACGAUCAAAAUAAGAUAUUGUAAGCCAGAAUUUCAGCUGGUGCAAAUUGGCACAACUGCGCUAAUCUCUACGAAGCUUAGAUUUACACCAGCUAAGGAUAUGGCUCUUUUUAAAGAGCAGGCCAAACAGGGAAUGCUCAGGACCUGGCAUGGAUUAGAGUUACGAUGCAAUUCCAGAUUUCAUGUGGAGGCUAAUUCAAGGCUAUGACUUCACUUCGGUGGUUCUGCAGCCGGGAGAAGAUCUCCCUUCGCGACACUUUUGUGCCCAGGUGGUGUAAAUCUGCCUUCCUGAGCCACAUCCUAACCAGUUUUGAAAAUGAAAGGACCAUUCUGCUUUUGAAAUCUGACCUAGAACCAAACCUGGUUCAAACUGGAACCUCUAUGAAAUGUUGGGUGCUUGGGAUACAAGGUUCAUCUUAUUUUUUUGGAACAUCUUUUUUCCUUGACACAUACUCCCAUGUGCUUUAACCUAAAUAUAGUGAUGCUAGUAACAUCAAUCAUAUCAAUGCCCCAAGUAUCAAUAAUAGCAGUGCCAGCAGCCCAGAACUAAUGAACACCCCUCUAGUAACAUACUAGUGUGCAAAGCCCCAGACCCAGGAGCAGUCUUACAAUAAUAAAUCAAUGUGCCCAGCCUAGUACUCAUUAGCAAACUUACAAUAAUACAGCAGAGUGCAAAGAGUAAUCCUACAAUUAAGAAAAUACCAGUGUUUCUCUGCUGGAAUGUGGCAGGGUGGGAAG
Molecule: long non-coding RNA, 1644 nt
Organism: Chelonia mydas (Green sea turtle)
Lineage: Eukaryota; Metazoa; Chordata; Testudines; Cheloniidae
Exons: 3
Source: RefSeq, a predicted model, not a curated record